Molecule: ribosomal RNA, 301 nt
Filed under: uncultured bacterium
Lineage: Bacteria
Description: partial 16S ribosomal RNA
Rfam family: Bacterial small subunit ribosomal RNA
Source: RNAcentral
CAGCCGCCACGGGAAUACGUAGGGUGCGAGCGUUAAUCGGAAUUACUGGGCGUAAAGCGUGCGCAGGCGGUUUUGUAAGACAGGCGUGAAAUCCCCGGACUCAACCUGGGAAUGGCGCUUGUGACUGCAAAGCUAGAGUGCGGCAGAGGGGGAUGGAAUUCCGCGUGUAGCAGUGAAAUGCGUAGAUAUGCGGAGGAACACCGAUGGCGAAGGCAAUCCCCUGGGCCUGCACUGACGCUCAUGCACGAAAGCGUGGGGAGCAAACAGGAUUAGAUACCCGCGUAGUCCCUGUCUCUUAUAC